GGAACGCUCGCCGCUCCCGGUCCCAGUACCCAUAUGGGGUAAACCAAACGUCCAAGAUAAACCCACGCUGGGACUACUGGUACUCUAAGAUAGAGAGUUCUGUUGUUUACUCUCUCUGCUUUCCCAUUUAUCGCCUCUUAUUGUUUGUAGAGUAAAAUUUAAAAUAGGAGAUGUGAUUACUAGGACCGCUUAAGAUAACCUUAUUGGGCAGUAAACAAUCCCAUGACCAAAACAAAACAUGAAUCUAUGUGCUUUUAUGCCUGUUUGUUUUCUAUGGUUUUUAACGCUGCUUUAUAUGUGCUUUUUUUUGCUGUAGGUGGCGAUGAUGGGGUGGUAGAAGAGAACAGAUCUACUAGGCUAGCUGUAGCUUCUCAAUGCCUGUAUGAUAUUUUGAUCCAAUCUUCUGUGGUAAAAGAUAAAAUAACACUUGGGAUCUGUAUGUGUUAUUAGCCCCUGUGGUACUCUGUUUGUUUCCAGGUCUGCAGAGUUUAGUUUCUGUAGAUAUUUGAGUUAAGAGGAGACUAAGCCAUGAAGUAAAAGAGAUGCCUAGUUUUUUUUUCCUUCAAUAUGGUAGCCAGCAUUGUAUCAUGUAGAAUUUUAAUCCAGGACAGAAGUGGUUCCAUGUAUAUGGGGGAAACCAAACCACACAAGAAGCUAUCAGCUAUGCCUG
Molecule: long non-coding RNA, 670 nt
Filed under: Zea mays
Lineage: Eukaryota; Viridiplantae; Streptophyta; Magnoliopsida; Poales; Poaceae
Description: long non-coding RNA (ZMAY_LNC002500)
Source: RNAcentral